Molecule: ribosomal RNA, 289 nt
Filed under: uncultured bacterium
Lineage: Bacteria
Description: partial 16S ribosomal RNA
Rfam family: Bacterial small subunit ribosomal RNA
Source: RNAcentral
AUGAACGCUGGCGGCGUGGAUAAGGCAUGCAAGUCGAACAGUUUUCUUUAUUGAAGAAGAUGCGAUUACAUCAAAUUAACAGAUAUUUUGAAAACAGUGGCGAACGAGCUAGUAACACCUUGGUACGUACCCGAAAGUUUGGUAUAGCUCGCCGAAAGGCGGGGUAAUCCCAAAUAGUCCCUUCAUCUAUCGGAUGAUAGGGUAAAGUAGCAAUACGCUUUCGGAUCGGCCUAGGUCCGAUCAGUUAGUUGGUGAGGUAAUGGCUCACCAAGACAAUGACCGGUAGGGG